RNAcentral lists this ribosomal RNA (407 nucleotides) under uncultured bacterium. RNAcentral describes it as "partial 16S ribosomal RNA". It matches the Rfam family "Bacterial small subunit ribosomal RNA", at positions 28 to 526 of the family's 1533-position model. The record is from RNAcentral.
GACGAACGCUGGCGGCGUACCUAAUACAUGCAAGUAGAACGCAGUUGCGAACGGGUGAGUAACGCGUAGGUCACUGCCUGGUAGCGGGGGAUAACUAUUGGAAACGAUAGCUAAUACCGCAUACUACCAGAUGGACCUGCUUUGUAUUAGGUAGUUGGUUGGGUCACGGCUCACCAAGGCAACGAUACAUAGCCGACCUGAGAGGGUGAUCGGCCACACUGGGACUUAGAACAGGCCCAGACUCCUACGGGAGGCAGCAGUAGGGAAUCUUCGGCAAUGGGGGGAAACCUGACCGAGCAACGGCGCGUGAGUGAAGAAGGGUUUCGGAUCGGAAAGCUCUGUUGUUAAGGAAGCGGUACUUAACCAGAAAGGGACGGCUAACUACGUGCCAGCAGCCGCGGUAAUUC